GGUGGUUCUCAGGUGACGCACCCUAGAAUCGGGCUCCUUUCUCUCUGGUUCCAGGUGGGUCACCUGAGAACCGCA
Molecule: non-coding RNA, 75 nt
Organism: Myotis brandtii (Brandt's bat)
Lineage: Eukaryota; Metazoa; Chordata; Mammalia; Chiroptera; Vespertilionidae
Source: Rfam